This 394-nucleotide ribosomal RNA is filed under the name uncultured bacterium. RNAcentral describes it as "partial 16S ribosomal RNA". It matches the Rfam family "Bacterial small subunit ribosomal RNA", at positions 523 to 918 of the family's 1533-position model. The record is from RNAcentral.
AUACGUAGGGGACGAGCGUUGUCCGGAAUUACUGGGCGUAAAGGGCGCGCAGGCGGAUAUUUAAGUCAGCUGUAAAAGGCAUGAGCUCAACUCAUGUAUGCGGUUGAAACUGGGUAUCUAGAGUGCUGGAGAGGUAGGCGGAAUUCCCGGUGUAGCGGUGAAAUGCGUAGAUAUCGGGAAGAACACCAGUGGCGAAGGCGGCUUACUGGCCAGCAACUGACGCUGAGGCGCGAAAGCCAGGGGAGCGAACGGGAUUAGAUACCCCGGUAGUCCUUGCCGUAAACGAUGAAUGCUAGGUGUGGGUGUCGAGAGGCAUCCGUGCCGGAGUUAACGCGAUAAGCAUUCCGCCUGGGGAGUACGAUCGCAAGAUUGAAACUCAAAGGAAUUGACGGGG